Molecule: ribosomal RNA, 465 nt
Filed under: Vreelandella stevensii
Lineage: Bacteria; Pseudomonadati; Pseudomonadota; Gammaproteobacteria; Oceanospirillales; Halomonadaceae
Description: partial 16S ribosomal RNA
Rfam family: Bacterial small subunit ribosomal RNA
Source: RNAcentral
CCUACGGGUGGCAGCAGUGGGGAAUAUUAGACAAUGGGCGAAAGCCUGAUCCAGCCAUGCCGCGUGUGUGAAGAAGGCCUUCGGGUUGUAAAGCACUUUCAGUGGGGAAGAAAGCCUUGGGGCUAAUACCCUCGAGGAAGGACAUCACCCACAGAAGAAGCACCGGCUAACUCCGUGCCAGCAGCCGCGGUAAUACGGAGGGUGCGAGCGUUAAUCGGAAUUACUGGGCGUAAAGCGCGCGUAGGCGGUCUGAUAAGCCGGUUGUGAAAGCCCCGGGCUCAACCUGGGAACGGCAUCCGGAACUGUCAGGCUAGAGUGCAGGAGAGGAAGGUAGAAUUCCCGGUGUAGCGGUGAAAUGCGUAGAGAUCGGGAGGAAUACCAGUGGCGAAGGCGGCCUUCUGGACUGACACUGACGCUGAGGUGCGAAAGCGUGGGUAGCAAACAGGAUUAGAUACCCUGGUAGUC